Molecule: long non-coding RNA, 602 nt
Organism: Limulus polyphemus (Atlantic horseshoe crab)
Lineage: Eukaryota; Metazoa; Arthropoda; Merostomata; Xiphosura; Limulidae
Exons: 2
Source: RefSeq, a predicted model, not a curated record
AUUACUCGUAACUUUCUCUUUUUUUUGGAAAUUUCGGUGUUUACAGAAAUGUCCUCCACGAAGCAUUUAGAAAAUAAUAAGAAGCGAGGACAUUUCUCAGAUUACUCUAGUUUAUACUUCUGCUUGUAAAGAUAAAUAACUUUAAUGUUAUAACAUCAAAUUACCCCCAACAGUUAUUUAGCUCUCAGUAGUAUAGAUUAUGUACGAGUAUCUGUAAAAUUUGAACAUUUUAUUUACACGUUGGGCCUAAUUCAAUCCUAAUGUCUCAAAGUUCAACUCCGUGAUUCCAAACGUAUUUCAUAUAUUCAUACCAUUACCAACUAUAUUUGCCUGAAUUAACAGAGACCACAGUGUCUUAGCUCUUCUGAAGAUGAUGUUACCAAGUUUCUUGCCUGCAGUACCCAUACUGUGACCACCAAUCAAGAUUAUUGGAUGUAGCAGUACCCUAAAAUUGUUUGUCAGUUUAAAUUAACAAUACCAUAUACCACACUAUAUGUAGGAAAUUUAAUUUCAGCAUUUAUUUUGUAAACAUUAUGAGACUUCUCUAAGUGUGUUAUGUAAUUUCUGAAAUCUUGAAAAGGAAAUAAAGUGGUUGAACUUAA